Molecule: long non-coding RNA, 8599 nt
Organism: Cavia porcellus (domestic guinea pig)
Lineage: Eukaryota; Metazoa; Chordata; Mammalia; Rodentia; Caviidae
Exons: 3
Source: RefSeq, a predicted model, not a curated record
GAGAGAGCUCCAGGUGUCCGGAGAGGAGGACAUCCGUCAAGGAGGGGAGUCUAGCCUGGCAUCCGUAGAUUAGCCCCUGCUGUGUGGCCUAGGGCCACCCGAUUUCCUCCUCUAAGAUCUUUUGCCUCAUCUGCCAGGUGGGGGUUAGGAGAGGACAUUCCUGAGGCCACCACCUCGGGAUGUGAAUGUCACUUGCAUGUUUCCUUGCUCUAGGACAAGCCCCUGCUUUAGUCUCCAAGCUCUCCAUGGCACUUGCAGGGGUCCUGCCUAACGGGGUUCACUAGGUAUGAAGAAGGCAGACCAGCCCAGUAUUGGGCAAAUGCCUCACUCAGGAGCUACAAUAUCAUGCUCCAGACUGGAGAAGCUCGGGGCGUCCAGGUGGAAGAAGGACAUCUGUGCCCAGGCUAGCACUAGGGGAGGUGAGCCAGGCCGAGAGUGGAAGGCAGAGAGCCCAGGACACUCCGAGCAGCCACGGGCAGCAGGCAGGGCUGCAGUCUUGGCAUGAAGCCUACCCUGGGCUGGUCCUCCAGCUCCCUGAGUGGCUGCCCAAGUGGGAACAAUGACCCUUUCACGUCACGCCUCCUCAGUCACAGCAACUUUGGCGCCGCAGGACAAAGGGGCCGUUUCAUCAUUGUUGGAUUGGAUCAACAGCCCGCCCGCCUGAGCCCUGCUGCCCCCACACAGCCCGGGCCUGGAAGAGAGGCCGGCGGCCCCACCUGGCCAGACCCAGGACCUUCUCUUCUCCUGGUCCAGCUGAUUGUCCCAGAGACCCCCUCACUUUCCUUGCCAUCCCCUCCUGGCUCACCUGGCAGCUCUAAUGAUGCUAGGCUCUGCUCCUGACCGUGGUCUCCACAGGUGUGUGGCGUGUUCUGCGUCUCAAAUGAAGACACUCACAAGCCCAGACUCAUCUUGUCAGGAUGGGGUGACAGGGUGAGGAAGUGCUGCUUGAGGGGCAAGAAUGGAGGAAGGCCUGUCCUGGGUACUGGCACAGGAAGGUGACAGGGAGCAAGCCUCCCCUCUGGCCUGGAGACUCCAAGCCCGGUUCCAACCUUGACUGCUCCUCCCAAAACCUGCAGGCGAGUAUCCAGGAAAAGCCUCAGAGAAAGCCCACAGCAGUCUCCUCGUGGUGUGGAUUCCUUCCUCAUCCUCUAGUCAGCGUCGGUGCGGGCACCAGAAACCUGAGGGGCCCCCUAGACUCCAGCUGCUGAAAUUCUAGCCUAGACCUCAUCAAGGCCAGGGAGACAGGGAGAAGAUAGACAGGGUCUGGAAAGAGGGAGGUGGCGGGGAGACCAGCCUUGGCAGAGCCGAGGGUGGACCCACCUGGGGCUGCACCUCAGGCUUUCAGAGUUGCCCUGGACAAGCCAGCAGAGAGCCUCUGGGGAGUGACUCAUGUCUCCUUCUCAGAGUGCUCUGUGGCAGGCUGGAAUUCUCUCAAACUAAGAUGUGCAGACCUGAGUUGACCCUGGCGUGCUGGUACCAUGAAGGUGGUGAAGUGGGGCCUCCUCUGGUCCCCACAGGGUCCAGUAGUCCCUGUUCUGGGCCUGUCCUGGAGGCCCUCUCCACUUAGACCCAGUCAAACCUGAUGCUCUGGGUGAAUAGCCUUAGGCAAGCCAGCUUCCACAUCUAUUGUCUAAGGAAGACAGUGCUGAGCGCUGCAGAGGUGAGAAGGGCCUGGCUGGGCUAAGCAGUGCUUGGGGCUGUCUCCUUGGUCUGGGUGGUACCUGUGGACCUUCCCUGCAGUGUGCCAUCGUGUUGCCCCAUUUAGCAGAUGGAGAAACUGAGCCUGGCACAAUGUUGGGUCUGGCCCUGGGCCACAGGAAUCCUGUGCCAGAAGCUGUCUAACUUCUCUCACCUUAGUUACCAGGGCCGUAGGCAGGUGCUGGCCAGGGGAGAGAUGGAGGUGCAUCGGGCCACGACAUGCCCUGGAAGGCCACGUCUGUGCCGCAGCAGCCCUGCCCCUGGGUCUCCAUCCACCUUUUCAUCCCUCUCCGUCCUCUGGUGCCACUGCUCUGGCAUCCUCCCACACCGUGACCAGGCACAGGUCUGCUAAUGAAGGACGGGGCCCCAAGGCCCGUGGCUCAUCUGUCCGUCCUGUCCAUGUUCAGCCCAAGCCAGGCUGGAAGUACAACUGAAGUGAGUCUGAAACCACCUGCCCCCAAACAGAUGCCAUGUGGGACUCUGGGAAGGGAGUGGUCACCAUAUGUGACCAAGGCAGCAAGUCGGAGGUGACAGGGAGGUAGAUGCAAGCAGGGGAAAGGAACACAGAAGGAAGAAGAGGCUACUGCAGCUACAGAGCCAAAGCCCCCAGGCUGCUGCUGCCUGGCCCAGGACUACACCUGGUACCAAGGCCCAGUCACUCUCCUGUGCCCACAGAGUCUCCCCGUAAAGGUCCAUGUGUGUGUGCAGGCAUAUGAGGGUAUGCAGAGGGAGGCCCUUGGACUCAGCUAUGCGCCCCCAGCAUGUGGACAGCUAGUUGUCCCCUGUGAUUCCAGUGGCACCACAGGUUUUGUCCCCACAGUGCGUGUGUUACACAGGUGGGACUGAUCAGUGGCUGCAGCGCUCUCCCUGCUGGGAUAGGCUGGGACCGCUCUUUGUGCCACCUGCCAGGUGCUCCCAUUUGGGGUCCUGUGGCAAGCCUCACAGGUCUCCCAGCAUCCUCUAUGAGGAUCCUUUUGGUGCUGAGUCUUUUGCCAGGGGAAGGCUUAUGAGUGAGACAAAUUCAGAGUGUCUCCAUCCCUGUGAGGGUAGGCACUGGGCACGAGAAUUCAAGAUGUCCUGUGACACUGGGCAAGGGGGUAAUCUCUCUGCUUUUGAUUUUUGUUUUUUGAGACACUGUAAUUCAGGCUGGCCUUGAACUCACUAUGCAGCCCAGCCUGGCCUCAAACUCAGAGCCAUCUUCCUGCUUCAGCCUCCCAGGUGCUGGAUUACAGGCUCGCACCACUACACCUAGCUAUCUCUGGAUCUUAGCUUCUCAGCUGCACCGUGAAGAUUAUAAACUGUGCAAACCUCACAGCGUUGUGAGGAGUAAUUAGAUGGCAGCAGGCUGGGACGCUGAGCUUGCCGGUCUGGGAUAGUGCCGGAUCAGAAGGGUUUCUUUUGCUUACAGUAUUAUUGUCAUCUGCCUGGUCUGUCCUCUGAGACUCUGGAACUGCCCAGUCCAGGUGCCGGCAGCCAGCAAUGCCUCCACCCACCUGUAAAACAAUUGGCGAGGGUGGGACUUUUUAAGAAGGGUACCUGGGCCUGGUGUUGGGUUUUCGGGGUAGCCAGGUACGCGUGCCCUGAGGUUUGGAGCCUGGCACCUGCCUUCUGCACCCUUGUGUUCCAAAGAACUCGACCUCAUGGGGGCAAGGAGUCCCUGACCAGAUUUCAGAAAACAUUGGUCCAGGUGUCAGAGUCUCCUGGGGUGCUGGUGUGGGAGAGCUGUCCCCUGUCUAACAGCCCCUGCGCGUUCCUUUCUGCAUGAUGUUCUGUUGAUAGGCCCUAGGAUAGCCUCCUUUUGAGAUCCAGGACCUGUCCCUUCCCAGUGCGGCUCAGGAUAAAGAAGAUCCAGAAGCUGGUCAUGGGGGCAGGCACCUGUAAUCCCAGCAGUCUGGGAGGUUGAGACAGAAGCGUUGAAAUUCAAGCUCACUCUGGGCAACUCUGUGAGAGGCUGUCUCCAAAUUAAAAAGGAAAAAGUAGUUGGAGCUUUAGCUCAUUGUGAGAGCCCUGGGCUCAAGCCCCUGUACCACCAUUACUAAAAAAGAUGAGAGAGAGAGGGACAGACAGACAGACAGACAGACAGAGAGAAAGACAGAGAGACAGAGAGAGAACCAGAACUUCCUGAAAAGUGGUCACGUGCCAGCAGGCAUGGUAGUUCCUGCAGCCCUUGGGGAGGCUGAGGCAGAAAGAUUCUGCAAAUUCAAGGACAGCCUGAACUACAUAACAAAGCCUGUUUCAAAAAAAAGAAAAGAAAAGAAAAGAAAAAAAGAAAGAAGAAAGAAAAAGAAAGGAGACAGAGAGAGUCAGAGGGAGAGAGAGCGUGCCAGAGACCAGGGGUAGAAAGGCUCCAGGCCCCUUACAGUUCUUGCAGGACUCUCAUUGCCAGAUGGACGACAAAUGAAUUCCAAGGCUCCUGGGGUAGGAAAUACUUCCCAGAAAAGCUCCCUGCUGGUUCUGGGUCAGGUUCACUGCCUUGAAUGUUGGGUAGAGAGUCCGUGCUUGAGGAUGACCAGGAGUCCCUUGGCCUGGCCUGCUCCAAAGCCCGAACCACCAAAGUCUCUGCCCUGUGUCCAUAAUGCACAAGGCUCCUGACCCAGGUAAGGGUCUCCCUGCCUUUUCCCCUCCUCUUCCUCCCUCCAUUCUAGGCCUGGACUCUACUUCUCAGCUCCCAGAGGGAGUGCUGUCAUUUUCCAUGGGUUCCUCAUGAAGCUCCAGCACAUCUGGCAGUCCUGGCAGGAGGCUGGCUAGACUCACACUCGGGGUUCUGAGUGUGGGCCCGAUCCGCUCCAGGGGCUUGCGCUGAGGCUUAAGUUCAUGGGUUUGCUCACUACUGAGAUAUCCAUUCAGUCACUUUCCAGGGACAUGGCAUUGGGCUGGUGACCACACCUCUCUGGACAUAGUCUCCAACUGGAAAACGAGGACAAAGCCUUGUCCACAGGACAGGAGGCGGAGCACAGCAGUCACUCACAGGUGGCACAGGGGAUACCCACAGUGAGUUCCCAGUAACCCUGUACCAUGGAGGUGCUCACCGCACUUUCCUGGGCCAGGGAUAGGACCCUGUGUUUGCUUCUUCUGCUCAGGGCAGCCCAAAGCCAGCUCUCUAGGCCUCAGUUUCUCUGUCUGUAGAUAGGUGAAGCAGAAUCUCAGGUGUCCUGUCAUGACACAGAGUACUAAGAACAAGCAUGUCCAUGCCUACCACAGCUUUAGCAACCUGUUCACAGAUAGCCUUGUGCGUCUGUGGCCUGCAGGUGUGGAGUCUAGGUGGCCCAAGGUAGGGAUGUGACUGCCUCCUUCCCUGCCCCUCGGGUGACUGCAGUUAUCUCCUCCAGACAGCUCCUUCCCCCAACCUUGCCCUCUGGCUACUGCUUAUCUCCCUGAUAAACAUCCCAGUGUCCAAGGAAAGGUCUGUCUGUGCCCUUCAGGGCCCUCCCUGCCUGGACUGGACUCAUCAGCACAGCCCCUGAGGAUCCUGGGCCUUUGACUCCAAGGAUGCCUGGUAGGGAAAAGGCUUAACCCCCAGGGAGGCUGGCUGUCCUGCUGCUGGUCACCUUCCUGUUAAAGGCGGUAGGGGAUCUGAUCUGAAGAGGGAGGCAAGGUCUUGCCUUGGAGAUUCUAAGGGAAGGUGAGUCCCAGAUUCCUCCAGAGGGCCCCAUGCCCUGCACCCCACCCCUAUCCCAGUUCACGCAUUACACAGCCUUUGGCCAUCAGGACACUGAGCUAUGACCUGUAGCAGAGAAGGUCUGCUCUGAAUCAUGAGCUGUAUGUGGCUUUUAGCCACAAAUUGGGGCCUGGAUCCCGUGGAUGAGGCCGUGGAACAGCGUGCAUAGAAGAGGAAUGCAAGAGCCAGUGGUUUCUUGAAUGCCAGCUCCAGACAGUGUGGACCAUUGACACAGGACCCCAACAGAGGGAUGGGCGCUCCAAGGGUCCUGCAGGACCGAGUCAGCUUGUGCCUCUCUGCAGAUAGAAGCAGUAUUCAGAAAGUGAACAGGCCACAAAAGAGCAAAUCUUCCCUUCCCUUCAGUCGAAGAGCUGAGGGCCAGGCCUACUUCUUUUCCCAGCUGCAGCCUGAUGCCCACGUUGGCAAAGGCAGUCUGUCUGUUUUUCUGUCUGUCCACAGCCUCAGUGCUCAGCCAUCCCCUGCAACAUAGUCACAAUGAAAAAAUACCUGUUAGCCAGAAAUCCUAGCUGUCUGGGAAGCUGAGGCAGGAGGUUUGCAGGUUUAAGCUCAGUCUGAGCAAUUUAGCAAUUUAGAGAGAUGCUGUCUCAAAAUAAAAAAAGAAAGGGGGUGGAGAGACUGGGGAUAUAGCUCAGUGCAAAAGCCUUGGAUUCAAUUCCCAGAAUGAGAAAGACAGAAAGAGAGAGAGAGAUCUGUUGAUGAAUGAAGCUUGGCUCCACCUGCUUGCAUACCUGAGUUCUCACCUGCAAAUAUUUUUUCAUUGAAAAAAAUUUCUCACUUAUUUUGUGCCAAAGUAACUCUCAAUACAUGUCCCUGCUGUCACUGAUCACUUUACAGCUGUCCCGGAACCAGCCAGUGCACUGAUGCUGGGGCUGGCUGGGAGCUGGUUACGUUUCACACCCAGCAACCACCUUUGCACCAUCACAGUGCACACACUGGCACUGUGAGCAGCCUGGUGUCCCGAACUUAGGCUCCUUAUUCAUAGAAAGAGCAGGGGUCUCUUUUCUUUCUUUCUUUUUACUUGCAUUCAGUGCUCAGCAUGUAUUUACUAAGCACACGCUCUGGGAUCAGCCUAUGGGUGAGGUGAUGGGACAUAGCAGCAACCAAGAAAAUCUCAGCCCCCUCUCAGUAGCACAGGCAGAUAUCAAUCAAGAAAGCACAUCCUGCGGCAUAAGUACCUGCCUUGCAAGCAGGCAGUCAUGAGUUCGAUCCCCGGAAAAAAAAAAAAAAAAAAAAGAAAGAAAGCACAUCCUGGACGAUCUAAUUAUGUAUUCCGGGGUGCUCUGAGGAGGAGAGGGGGCCGGAGCAGGCAGGCACCAGAGCAUCUGUCAGAGCCACGGGCCCUUGCCCAGCAAAGCCAUGAGUAUCAGGAGGACAGGAGACAGAACACAUUCCAGGUAGCAAGAAAAACCUGGGCAAAGGCCAGACGGCCAGAAGGACCCUUAAAAUCUGAGAGCUCUUGGUGCAGUUAAAGUGGGAGAGGAGCUGAGAGCUCCCAGGCAGAGGCAGGAAGGAGGGUGGAAGUGAACAGCGCACAAGCCACAGUUCAUGAAGAAGACGCAGGAGGUCAGGGGUGAGUCUGAGCAGUCCCAAUCUGGCUGCCAGAUACCAGAUGGAUUCUGAAGGAUUUUGAUCCCAAAGUCUGGAGCUGAUUUUUCGAGUAUGUCCAGGGUUAUGGGUUUUUCAUUUGUUCUGUUGUCUCCCCCAUGCCUAUCCAAACCUCAUGCUCCUAAGGGCAGAGGUUAGGUCUGUAUCAAAUUUAUUUCUGAGGGCCCAGUAUCCACACUAUAGGAUGAGACCCAGGUCAGAAGCCAAGCAAAUGCAUGCUGUGUGGGGUGCCCUACUGUCUGUCUAUGCCUGUGAAGCUGUCUGUUUGGACCUGUCAAUACCUGUGCGCUUGUGUCCUCGGCUUGGUCAGGCCUGACUCUGCCCUGUCAGGAGGACAUCAGGAUGUAAGUCAGGCAUGCAGGAAGCAGACUGUGCUGCCUGCCAGCUGGGGAGGCUAUGGUCUGGAACCCCCACCUCAUCCUAUCCCGCCCUCAACCAUCAUGGACACAGCUGCCAGCUCCAUGCACUUAGGACAGAUCAGCCCAGCAUUCGGAGGUCCUGUCCACAGAAUCACCUCCACCCAGCCUCAGCUUGGGCAAAGGAAAUGAAGCCAGAAAGUUGAGGGUGGAGCUGGGGACAGUUUGGAUACAGACACCCAUGAGUGGGAACUAGAGGAUAGCAGCCCUGACUCAGGGAAGGAUGGCCCAAGCUGCUCCUGGGCUUCCCGCAGGCAGCCAGGGAAGCAAUAAGCUCUGUGUCGGGGGAGGUCUGCAAGUGAUAUGAGCUCCCAUCUUCUGCUCCCCCAGCAGGUACCCUGUGCUCUGUUGCAGCUCUAACAGCCUCUCCCUCCUGCCCUUGGAGCUGGUCACUGGCUAUAUGCUGCUGGGAGGUCCCCACCCUCUCUAUCCCUGCCCUGCCUCCCGAGACAAAGAAGGAGGCUAACUCAGGGUGGUUGUUUCCUUACCUUUUCAGCACUCAGCACCACACAGUAAUUGCAGGUAUUCUCAACAUUUAGAAUAACCAUCUUAUAAAAUAAAAACAGUUAAAGUCUCUAACCAAUUAGUAAAAAUGCAGAAGAUACUUUAAUUUCAGAAAAUCUAAGUAUUUCUUUCUUUUUUUUUUUUAAAUCUAAGUAUUUCUCCAGAGGUCUGAGGUCCAUGGUCAGAAUGGGAGAUCCCACACCCUUCCCUGCUGACACACACACACACCACACACACACACGCCUCUCACUCCUCUGGUCCUGUCCGGAGGAAAUCCAAUGCAAUGCUGCCACAUAGCUGGCCAAAAGGUCCUCUGAUCUGGGUGGACCAGUGCUUCUGCCCACUUCUUGCUGCUGUGACAGGUCUCACUCUCCGCUCCUGGGAUCUGUACUCUGUGCUCUUCCUAGAAUCAUCUUCUCCUCUCUCUGCCUAGGUAAGGGCACCUUCAUCCUUUGGUCUCAGUGCAUUUGCCUCUUCCUCCAGGAAACCUUCCCUAACCUCACCAGGUCUUCUCAAAGCCACCAUUUACUCCCUGACAGAGCCUGCUCAUUCUAUCCUGUCCCUGCCUGUCUCUGUGACUGCCACCUCCAUUGCCACUCAGUCUAGAGGCUCAGCGCACUGUCUGGCCCAGAGAACAUACUCACAAAGUGUUUGUUGAAUGAAUGAAUAAAUAAAUAAAUAAAUGCCUUCAAACUCA